Molecule: ribosomal RNA, 164 nt
Filed under: Ilex rotunda
Lineage: Eukaryota; Viridiplantae; Streptophyta; Magnoliopsida; Aquifoliales; Aquifoliaceae
Description: 5.8S ribosomal RNA
Rfam family: 5.8S ribosomal RNA
About the family: 5.8S ribosomal RNA (5.8S rRNA) is a component of the large subunit of the eukaryotic ribosome. It is transcribed by RNA polymerase I as part of the 45S precursor that also contains 18S and 28S rRNA.
Source: RNAcentral
AAAACGACUCAUGGCAACGGAUAUCUCGGCUCUCGCAUCGAUGAAGAAUGUAGCAAAAUGCGAUACUUGGUGUGAAUUGUAGAAUCCUGUGAACCAUCGAGUUUUUGAAUGCAAGUUGCGCUCAAAGCCAUUAGACUAAGGGCACGUCUGCUUGGGCGUCACGC